ACUACGGGAGGCAGCAGUGAGGAAUAUUGGUCAAUGGACGCAAGUCUGAACCAGCCAUGCCGCGUGCAGGAUGACGGCUCUAUGAGUUGUAAGCUGCUUUUGUACGAGGGUAAUAUCAGAUACGUGUAUCUGCUUGAAAGUAUGGUACGAAUAAGGAUAGGCUAACUCCGUGCCAGCAGCCGCGGGAAUACGGAGGAGGCAAGCGUUACCCGGAUUUAUUGGGUUUAACGGGUACGUAGGCGGUUUUAUAAGUUAGAGGUGAAAUUUCGGGGCUAAACUCAGGACGUGCCUCUAAUACUGUAUGACUAGAGAAUAGAUGCGGUAGGCAGAAUGUAUGGUGUAGCGGUGAAAUGCGUAGAGAUCAUACAGAACACCGAUUGCGAAGGCAGCUUACCAAACUAUAUCUGACGUUGAGGCACGAAAGCGUGGGGAGCAAACAGGAUUAGAUACCCUUGUAGUC
RNAcentral lists this ribosomal RNA (460 nucleotides) under uncultured bacterium. Its description in RNAcentral is "partial 16S ribosomal RNA". It matches the Rfam family "Bacterial small subunit ribosomal RNA", at positions 338 to 795 of the family's 1533-position model. The record is from RNAcentral.